Molecule: long non-coding RNA, 2463 nt
Filed under: Gossypium barbadense (sea-island cotton)
Lineage: Eukaryota; Viridiplantae; Streptophyta; Magnoliopsida; Malvales; Malvaceae
Description: long non-coding RNA (GBAR_LNC008594)
Source: RNAcentral
UUGCUAAAUUUUAUUGGUUAUGUAUAAAACUACUUUCUAAAUUUUAUUGAAAGUUUUUUUUUUUUGAAUAAAAUACUGGAUCUAUAUUCCUCAGGCUCAAAACCAAACAAACCAAAAACCAGACCAAGUCCAAAACAAAAACACAUUCUGGAAAAAAAACCAAAGAAACAGGAAAAACUGAAAAUAAAAAUAAACACAGCCCAAAAAACGGCCCACACAAAUAGAGACCCAGCACAAUAAUCGGCAGUAGAAAACUCUAGAGACAUUGCAUCCCAGUUGGCUUCAACAAAACCUCCUUCAAAACAACUCCACCGCCUGGAAAAACACACUUCAUUCAUAUCAAACGUUACUUCCAUCAAUCAACAGCAAUCAAUAUUCACCCACUUCCUACCCACUUUCCUUCUUGAGAGAAACCAAACAUUUGAAGCUUACUGCAAAACUCCCCCCACUUCCUCCUCCGCCAUCCGACCCCUCGACUCCCUCUGGCUCUCCGUCCAUCUCCUCUCCUCAUCCGCCACGGCCUCAGCCCCACGAGGAACUCGAUUACAGAUAAGUAAAAACUCUAUUUUUAAGACCGUCAGUCGCUAUUAUAUGGGCAACACUAUUAGAGAACCUGUUGAUAAAACGAAACCCACAAUAGUCAAAGUUUAAACUCCGAACCUUUGAAUCUCUAAUUAUUGCAGCUAUUUCAGAUCUAUUCUCGUUUACAUUUGCAGUUUACGAAUCACCGUCCGAGAGUCCCCUUCCACUUCCACCUCCUUGAGUCCAAGUUGAACACCCAGAUCAAGAGCCUGAAAGCAUGCCAAUGCUUCAGCCGCAACCGCAGACGGUACGUUCACAUGUAAAACUGAUCUAGAGCAAACAACUUCUGCCUUUUCAUUCCUUACCACUAACCCAGAACACGAUUCUCUUCGUUGUCUGUUGCAAGCGGCAUCAAAAUUAAUUUUGAUUCGCGGGCAAAUCGGAGCGACCCAUCUGACAUUAUUGACACUUCUCUCAGGUAAAGGCGCUUUCGCCCCAUCUAACUCCUUAAUGUAGUUAAGCACAAACUCAGCAACUUGAGCGCCCGAUUUCAUUUCCCCCUCAUGUAGAAAUCUAUUUCUAGAUGUCCAAAUCGCCCAUAGUGCACAAGAGAUCAAUCUGCACUUGGAAAUAGACUGAGAAACAAAAAAAUUCAUUAGAUCUGCAUGAAAAUCAGAAUCCACUGUCGGGCUAGUCCAAGAUAAAUUUAACUUCUCCCAUGUUUCUUUUGCGACAGGACAGUCCCUGAACAAGUGCAUCCCCGUUUCUGCUCCCGAAUGACACCUCCAGCACAUGGUAGAAUCAAUCAGCCUUCUGUAGUGUAGAUUACUGUAGUUAGGCAGAAAAUUACGAGUGCAACGCCAGAUUGUAAUUUUAAUUUUAAAAGGCAGCUCUAGGCUCCAAAGUCGCUUGUAAAAUUGUUUGUAACAAGUCUGUAAUUGAUCCUGGCCUUCUUGUAAAAGAAUCUUGUACCCACUUCGGACCGAGUACACACUCCCCAGUCGGCUUUCCACUCCAAGUAAGUUGGUCCACAUGCGUACUUAAUGACAAAGGAAUACUCAAAAUACGCUCAGCAACACUCUCACCGGGAAGUUAUUAUAAAUUAACUCAGCGUUCCAUCUUCUUGUAACAGUGUCAAUCAGAUCCGCAACCUUUAUUAAACCCUCAUUGAAAAUUGGACUCUGAAUUCUAACUUCUUCUAGUUCAGGUACCCACACAUCUUCCAGGAUGGAUACUUGCUGGCCAUCUCCAAUCCUCCAUCCCAAUCCUUUCCAGAGUAAUCCCUUUGCAGCCCAUAUACCCUGCCAGGUAAAGGGAGGUAAAUUGCCCAGUCUUGAAUUUAAGAAAUCAGACUCUUUAUAAUAUUUAGCCGUCAAAGUGCGCGCUAGUAAAGAAUUAGGAGAACGUAAUAUACGCCAACCCUGUUUUGCUAACAAAGCAAUAUUAAAAAGGCUAAGAUUACGAAAUCCCAUUCCACCAUCCUCCUUAAGCCCACUUAAACCCUUCCAGUCACACCGAUGCAUGCCUCUCCUUCCUUGACCAUUUUGCCACCAAAAAGAGCUCAUUAUAUUUUCUAACACUAAACAAAGAGAUUUUGUUUAAAGAAAACAAGCCAUCGUGUAAAUAGGAAUAGCUUGCAAAACGGCUUUGAUAAAAACUUCUUUACCUCCAAGAGAAAGAACCCUGAUACUCCAGCUGUUGAUUUUCUGUCGCAAUCUAUCUUUCAGAUGUUGGAAAGCCCUCUUUUUCUUUCUUCCCACUCUAUUUGGAAGCCCCAAAUAUUUUUUCAUAUCUGUUGAAAAUGGUACAUUCAUCCUUUUAGAGACUAAAUUUUUCCCCCAAUCAUUUACAUUAUUGCUAACAAAGACUGGACUUUUCCAAAUUAACGCACUGCCUCGAGCAAGCCUCAUACUCUUGAAGAAUCAUCAGCAAACAUGAGGU